GAUCUUUUGCGUUCGAAUCUAAGGUGGUUUGCUGUUGUUGUUUUUAACAGGGAUUCUAAACCAAAGGUAAUUUUGUUUAUCGAGAUGAAUGCGUUAAAAACAACUCUUGUUUUUUUACAUCUUG
Molecule: long non-coding RNA, 124 nt
Organism: Onthophagus taurus
Lineage: Eukaryota; Metazoa; Arthropoda; Insecta; Coleoptera; Scarabaeidae
Source: RefSeq, a predicted model, not a curated record